Long non-coding RNA from Lycium barbarum (goji berry), 1594 nucleotides. RefSeq lists it as uncharacterized. NCBI's taxonomy places the organism in Eukaryota, Viridiplantae, Streptophyta, Magnoliopsida, Solanales, Solanaceae. The record is from RefSeq and is a predicted model, not a curated record. The transcript is spliced from 3 exons.
UCUCUCUCUCUUUCCUUUUUCAUGAAAAACCCUAGUAGCCGUCUUUGAUUCCCUCGUCUCUCUCAUGCCAAAAAUGGCGUAUUCACAGAGAUAUGAUCACAUGCACAGCAUCUGCAUGAUCGUUGUGGUGAAAAUAUCAAAAGUUCACUCGACUACAUGACUUCUUUUACCCGAAUAUGUUUGUUGAGGUUUGGAAGCACAAAGGCUCACAAAUCCAUUCUUUUCCUGGCUGCACAUAUAAAAGGCUUUUCUUUUACAGGACAGUAGAUACACCACCAACUAGCUUACUCACAACAAAGGCGAAUGGCAAAGCCCAAACGGUGGAGAAAGACCCAAAAGGGUCAUAGCAGAGAAUGGGUAUUAAAGAGACAUCUGACCGCGAGAGUGACGGAUCAAAUGAGCGUAAAGAUAGAUCCGACGAAGAGGGUCACACAAGGAAUGAAUGACAAAGAUGUAUCAGACCAAGAGGGUCACAAUGGAUGGGCAUACAGAUACAUGCGACCAAAAGGGUCAUGACAAGCACAAAGGGCAUAUCUGGCCACAAGGGUCAACAUCCAAUACAAUGAAGGAAAGAAAAAUUAUCCAGCCACAAGGGCCAUAAUUGUCAUCUGCCUGCCGAGAGGGCUAUUCAUUUAUUUUGCCAAGAGGGCCAUCUAUUUAUUUCGCCAAGAGGGUCAUUCAUACAAGCAAGCCAAGAGGGUCAUUCAUACAAACAAGCCAAGAGGCCAUGCAUAAAAAUAGCCAAGAGGGUCAUUUAUACAAACAGCGGAGAGGGCCAUUCAUUUAAAAAACCCAAGAGGGUCAUUCAUACAAACAGCCAAGAGAGCCAUUCAUACAAACAGCCUAGAGGUCAUUCAUUCAAACAAGCAAAGAGGGCCAUUCAUACAAACAGCCAAGAGGGUCAUUCAUUCAAACAAGCCGAGAGGGCCAUUUAUCUAAAUUUCCACAAGAAUAUCUGCAUAUUUUCAAAUUCAGGAGAGAAGCACACAACCGCCCAAAAAGAAACCGGUUGCUGAACCAGAUCUAGACAAAUUGAGGAGCAAACGUGUAACUUUUUCUUACGCAGCCGGUCAAGAUAUGGUGCCCAUGAGAGUCAAGCUUUCCGGCCAGGAUUUGGAAGGACAUGGAAUACACAUAUGCCCAUCACAUAAGCGUACGAAUAAAUAUGAGAUGUUGCUUGUACAUGUGUAUAUUUAUGUAUAGAAUAGGACUUGUGAACAGUAGUGCAUUGUGUAUAUUGUGUGUGUAUAUCAUGUGUAUGAUAGGAACAAUAAAAUAUAAACUAACUGGGGUGUUAUGUUUUAUUUUUCCUCUCCACUGCAUGGCCACUUGGGCCGAGGUCCAGCCACCCUAUUGGGUUAAAGGCCCAAUAGGGAAAAUUCUAUCAAGUGUCGUUGAGUCCAAAAAAAAAAAAGGGAAGCUAAUAUAUUGAAGGCCCAGUCAUGGGUAAAAAUGACAUGAAGGCCCAACCAUGGGUGAGAAUGGUUGGGGCUUGGUACACCCCAAUUUACUUUCUUCAUUAUAUUUUUCUCUACUUAUUUAAAAUCAUUUCCUUGUAUUGUAUUCAUUAUUUGUAAAACCCACAAACAUUAUU